RNAcentral lists this unclassified non-coding RNA (307 nucleotides) under plant metagenome. RNAcentral's name for it is "partial contains 5.8S ribosomal RNA, internal transcribed spacer 2, and large subunit ribosomal RNA". The stretch from base 1 to 105 matches the Rfam family "5.8S ribosomal RNA", at positions 50 to 154 of the family's 154-position model. The record is from RNAcentral.
GAAAUGCGAUAAGUAGUGUGAAUUGCAGAAUUUAGCGAAUCAUCGAAUCUUUGAACGCACAUUGCGCCCCUUGGUAUUCCAUGGGGCAUGCCUGUUCGAGCGUCAUUUCAACCCUCAAGCACUGCUUGGUGUUGGGCGUUUGUCCCGCCUGCGCGCGUGGACUCGCCUCAAAGUCAUUGGCAGCUGUUCCCCUUCGGCUCGUAAGCGCAGCACAGUCGGCGCCCGGAGCUCUGGUGGGAUGGCGUCCAGCAAGCUAUAUUUUCAGGCUUGACCUCGGAUCAGGUAGGGAUACCCGCUGAACUUAAGC